This is a non-coding RNA of Myripristis murdjan (pinecone soldierfish), 375 nucleotides long. The record is from the annotation of a RefSeq genome assembly. Lineage: Eukaryota; Metazoa; Chordata; Actinopteri; Holocentriformes; Holocentridae.
AUGAUGGACAAACUCUCUCUUCUGCUCACAGCUCUCUGUCUGCCAUGCUUGAAUGGCCAGGCUCUGGAGUCCAUUCCCUCCAGUCCAGUGCUGAAAAAGCCUGGGGAAACUCUCAGUCUUUCCUGCAGGGGAGCUGGCUUCACUUUCAGCUGCUGUGGCAUCAACUGGAUAAGAAAACCUGCAGGAAAAGGACUGGAAUGGAUGGGAUAUGUUUCCAGCAGUGGGAGCAGCACAGGUUAUGCUAGUAGUCUGCAAGGACGUGUUGAGAUGACGAGAGACAACAGCAACAACAUGGCUUAUCUGAGACUGUCUGGUCUAAAGCCAGAAGACUCUGCUGUGUAUCACUGUGCCAGAUACACACUGUGGUCUCAGUGA